CUAAUGACGGUCUUCAGUAUGAUUGAUUGAAGCGAUCGUCCACUCAUGAAGUUCAGAAGAGAUGCCUGGAGGGAGAAAAUUCCAAACCCUGAACCAACUGUGGGUUUACAGGCUGAUGUCUUUUUAAACAUGAAAAACCAUCAACAAAACUACAACACAAGGAAACACGAGAGGAGAACAUUACAGAUGCCUUCAGACAAACAGCAACAGUGAAUGAUGAU
This is a long non-coding RNA of Paramisgurnus dabryanus, 221 nucleotides long. RefSeq lists it as uncharacterized. NCBI's taxonomy places the organism in Eukaryota, Metazoa, Chordata, Actinopteri, Cypriniformes, Cobitidae. The record is from RefSeq and is a predicted model, not a curated record.